RNAcentral lists this ribosomal RNA (418 nucleotides) under Psammophis condanarus. RNAcentral's name for it is "partial 16S ribosomal RNA". It matches the Rfam family "Bacterial large subunit ribosomal RNA", at positions 1970 to 2594 of the family's 2925-position model. The record is from RNAcentral. Lineage: Eukaryota; Metazoa; Chordata; Lepidosauria; Squamata.
UGUCUAUUAAUUGUAGACCUGUAUGAAUGGCAAAAUGNGGGUCUAACUGUCUCUUAUAACUAAUCAAUUAAACUGAUCUCCCAGUACAAAAGCUAGGAUGACAACAUAAGACCAGAAGACCCUGUGAAGCUUUAACUAAACUAUCAAACCACAUGGUAGCUAGUUUCGGUUGGGGCGACCUUGGAAACAAACAGAACUUCCAAACAAACAGAACCAAUAAACACUUAAACACACUAAGGCCAACAAGCCAACUAACGACCCAGCACUGCUGAUUAAUGAAACAAGUUACUCCAGGGAUAACAGCGCCAUCUUCUUCAAGAGCCCAUAUCAAAAAGAAGGUUUACGACCUCGAUGUUGGAUCAGGACAUCCUAAUGGUGCAGACGCUAUUAAGGGUUCGUUUGUUCAACGAUUAACAGU